Halichondria panicea is the source of this 471-nucleotide long non-coding RNA. RefSeq lists it as uncharacterized. The record is from RefSeq and is a predicted model, not a curated record. The transcript has 2 exons. NCBI's taxonomy places the organism in Eukaryota, Metazoa, Porifera, Demospongiae, Suberitida, Halichondriidae.
ACUACGCAUGUGUGCAGUGCAGAAUAGAUGAGAGGAUCAAGCUGAGUUGGAGUUGAUGAAGCACAAAAUGGGGGGGGGCUCUAGUCCCGUCAGCCCCCCUCUGCCUACGCCACCGCUGGUUUAACACAAAAAUCAAUGAUACCGGUGCUGUUUUAACAUUGAUAUCAAGUAACACGUGGACCACUGCACCUCGAGGACAUUGAAGAUUCUCUUUCACUAACUACUAGACAAUCAACACCCUGUAUUAUCUGUCCCUGGCACAAGUGGUGCUUUGAUCUGAGUACUGGGAGACAGUUAGACCCACUUGGGAGAGAGCAGCACAUACAAUCUUAUCCUGUUCGAGUAGAUUCAGAUACUGGGACUAUUUCUAUUGGUUUUGCAUCGUUCGAUUCAUCUUGUUUUACUGACUAUGACUUCUAGAUCCUAUAUAGUAUUCUGUUAUCAUGUUUAUUCUUCAGGUAAUUAUUUUCA